Molecule: long non-coding RNA, 220 nt
Organism: Mytilus trossulus (common blue mussel)
Lineage: Eukaryota; Metazoa; Mollusca; Bivalvia; Mytilida; Mytilidae
Exons: 3
Source: RefSeq, a predicted model, not a curated record
ACGUUAUGUAGUAUGAAGUUUAAAUUUUAAAAUGGGAUAGAAGUGAACGGUUUGAUAGUGAAUAACUCGCAUAUUGAUAUUUGACGGAUAUUAAAGACAGUUUGAGGAUAUAAUGGCAAGUUGGGAUGAGAAACUUCUUAAAGCUGCAGAGUUGGGGAAUAUAAAAGAGGUAGAAUUAUGUAUAAAGAACAGAGCUAACUUGGAAUGUAAAGAUGAUGAU